GUUGUAAAGAGUCCUUGACAACCACCCAGUUCGUGGCAGAGACAGGGAGAACAGAGACUGCAGAGUCUUUGACUCUUUCUGGGGCUAACACCUGAGCCAUGGCGUCUGUAUCAUUUCGAGACCCAGUAUCUUCCACAGUGGGAAAACGGAUGAUUGUUACAGGCCCAGAUUAUAUAAAGGAUCAUCUACCAAAAAUUCAUCAGCACACUUCCUAUAUAGGAGAAAAGCGCCCAGCAUUAGAAAAGACUGGAGAUCUCAGAUAUUUAUGGAGGCCUGCCUCAAACAGAUGCUUACCGGCAAAAUAUAAAUAUGAGUAUGUUGGUGAAAUUGGUUGGGGAAUACCAGAGUAUGAUUUUAUCAACCAAACAAGGCUUUGGACUGGCUUUCACAUCAAGCAUGGAGAACAAAGCCAAGCCACUAUUGAUAAAAUAGGACACAGAUACCAAAAUCCAUGGCAACCAAAACCUUAUAUUAUGGAUAUGCAAGGAAGAUUCAGUCGUGGUUCUAUUGCCUGGCAUAUGGGUGAUUAUGAGAACACCGAUCAAAGAAAUUCCAAAGCGGCUGUCCUUGUCAGGCAGAGCACGGCAGAAUUGCCAAGAGCUUCCAAACAACCGAAGCUGCCAAAGCGACCAAGAAAGGAGGUCCGGAACUCCAGUGUCGGAGCUACGAAGAUGGGAAGCAGCAGGGGCACACGUCUGAUGACGUUUCAGUGGGGUACAUCUCCUGUAGUCUGUCUUCAAGAUGCAUGAUGCACUGGGGAGCCAACAACAUUCAGGAUGAGGGGCAGCAUUCAAACCUCUGCCAAUAUUCUAAGAGCUGGAAUUCUCUUCAUUCCUUUCUAAGUACACACCUAUAACCUCAUUUCUUUCAAAUACACAUAAAUAUUAUAGACCGCAUCAAACCCUACCACUGAAAAGCAAAGUUCGGCCACUAAAUCAGCAUGAUGCAGCUUGCUAUUAGAAAGAAAAACUGCCCACAAAUAUAGAACAAAAGUAAGGCCGUCAUAACCCGUAAGUGCUUCUCACAUCACCCCCUGGGACAGAGGUCCUGCGAGAGUAUGCUUCAGUAUAAAGCCCAAAU
RNA transcript from Panthera uncia (snow leopard), 1080 nucleotides. It is a transcript of the gene named chromosome B1 C4orf45 homolog, with no coding region annotated. The transcript is spliced from 7 exons. Lineage: Eukaryota; Metazoa; Chordata; Mammalia; Carnivora; Felidae. The record is from RefSeq and is a predicted model, not a curated record.